ACUCCUACGGGAGGCAGCAGUGGGGAAUUUUGGACAAUGGGCGAAAGCCUGAUCCAGCAAUGCCGCGUGCAGGAUGAAGGCCUUCGGGUUGUAAACUGCUUUUGUACGGAACGAAAAAGCUCCUUCUAAUACAGGGGGCCCAUGACGGUACCGUAAGAAUAAGCACCGGCUAACUACGUGCCAGCAGCCGCGGUAAUACGUAGGGUGCGAGCGUUAAUCGGAAUUACUGGGCGUAAAGCGUGCGCAGGCGGUUAUGUAAGACAGAUGUGAAAUCCCCGGGCUCAACCUGGGAACUGCAUUUGUGACUGCAUGGCUAGAGUACGGUAGAGGGGGAUGGAAUUCCGCGUGUAGCAGUGAAAUGCGUAGAUAUGCGGAGGAACACCGAUGGCGAAGGCAAUCCCCUGGACCUGUACUGACGCUCAUGCACGAAAGCGUGGGGAGCAAACAGGAUUAGAUACCUCUGUAGUCCCA
Molecule: ribosomal RNA, 471 nt
Filed under: uncultured organism
Description: partial 16S ribosomal RNA
Rfam family: Bacterial small subunit ribosomal RNA
Source: RNAcentral